Molecule: long non-coding RNA, 233 nt
Filed under: Elaeis guineensis (African oil palm)
Lineage: Eukaryota; Viridiplantae; Streptophyta; Magnoliopsida; Arecales; Arecaceae
Description: long non-coding RNA (EGUI_LNC007654)
Source: RNAcentral
CAACAACUUCCUAGUUAAAAACUUUUGACCUUGGAGAACCGCAGGACUUCCUUUCCUUAUCACAGUACAUCAAAGGAUAGACCUAUCCAUGCACAUAGAUCACCAUAGCGUGCUUGAUUCCUUCAACAUUGUCAACAUAUUUUGCAGUCCAUUGUUUCAUCUGGAAAACAGUAUGCAAAGAGAAUCUUUACAAAAUGAGAAUAUAGUUUUCUUGCUCUUUAAGUUAGAUGUAG